RNAcentral lists this ribosomal RNA (491 nucleotides) under uncultured bacterium. RNAcentral describes it as "bacterial SSU rRNA". It matches the Rfam family "Bacterial small subunit ribosomal RNA", at positions 355 to 858 of the family's 1533-position model. The record is from RNAcentral.
UGGGAAGUCUUGCACAAUGGGCGAAAGCCUGAUGCAGCAACGCCGCGUGCGGGAAGACAGCCCUAGGGUUGUAAACCGCUUUCAGCAGGGAAGAAACUGACGGUACCUGCAGAAGAAGAUGCGGCCAACUACGUGCCAGCAGCCGCGUGACACGUAGGCAUCAAGCGUUAUCCGGAUUUAUUGGGCGUAAAGAGCUCGUAGGCGGUUCGGUAAGUCGGGUGUGAAAAUUCCAAGGCUCAACCUUGGGACGCCACCCGAUACUGCUGUGACUCGAGUGCAGUAGGGGAGCAGGGAAUUCCUGGUGUAGCGGUGAAAUGCGCAGAUAUCAGGAGGAACACCAGUGGCGAAGGCGCUGCUCUGGGCUGUAACUGACGCUGAGGAGCGAAAGCAUGGGUAGCAAAACAGGAUUAGAUACCCUGGUAGUCCAUGCCGUAAACGUUGGGCACUAGGUGUGGGUCUCAAACCAACGAGAUCCGCGCCGUCGCUAACGC